Molecule: long non-coding RNA, 4862 nt
Organism: Oreochromis niloticus (Nile tilapia)
Lineage: Eukaryota; Metazoa; Chordata; Actinopteri; Cichliformes; Cichlidae
Source: Ensembl
AUGACAUCUGUAUCAACCAUGACGAGCAGCCUGGACAUCGCCCAAGCAACAGAAGCUCUAGAGCGAGACACGCAACCGUGGGACCUCACAGACUCCCCACCCCCAUCGCUGUUAAUCCAGACCCCACCAUCUCCUCCCCCCUCUCCACAGCUGCUGCAGGAUCCUACAGGAUCGGGGCUGUUUGAGGAAACCAUUAUCGACAUCAAGCUUGCAACCCACCAUCUGCUGAUGUUGGCGCUAAACGAGUUUCUACAGGAUACAUGCUACGGAUGUCAAAUAUCUCACCCCAGUCAGGUGCAACACAGCUGCUUGCUCGAAUUGCCCGAGUAUUUCUUUGACAUCUACUAUGACGAUGUGAUGAUAAGGCUCAAGACAGACCGAUUCAUCCCCGCCAUACGCCUGUUUGUGCGCUCGUACACAGUCGACGGGACUGGAACACAAUUCAGCCGGAUUGCAGAACACACCAUGACCGAACUGAGAUCAUCAGAACAUAUAGUAUGCGCAAUUAACGACAACAUUGUGCAGUUGCUAGAAGCAAGUCAUUAUGACCGACGUGCUAAACCAGCCAUGCUUCGCAUGAUUGGUAACUACUGGGCUGGGAGACACCUGGUUUAAUGUAUGCUGUUCAGUAUUCAUUGUCUGUGUGAAUGAAAUAAAAAGACGUGUUAACACCGACAGCUUUAUCAUUUGUGUCAUGCAUGCAUCAUGGAAAACACCUUGUAUAAAAUUUAUCAUGAUCCGGCCCAUCCGGCUGGAUUGGCCAGUUUAAAUAAGCUCCGUAUAGCUACCGCUGAGGCAAUAGGUGUAAAACCCUCAUUAUCACAGGUUAAACAUUAUUUAGAACGAGACGACACUUACACACUCCAUAAACCAGCUAGGAUCCACUUUCCCAGAAAUAGAGUAUUGGUUAAUGGAAUCGACAAACAGUUUCAAGCCGAUCUGGUUGAUAUGUCUGAAUACAUGACAGAUAAUGAUAAUGUUAGAUACCUGCUAACAUGUAUAGAUGUAUUCUCAAAAUAUGCAUGGGUUAGAUGUCUCACAACCAGGGGCGAUUUUAGCCCAUUUUUGGGGGUGCUUCAGCACCCCCAAAAUGAAUCAAAGCACCCCCAAAGAUUUCUUACUUUUUUUUGACAAUAUUUGCUGUUUGUGGGACACACUACUAAAAAUAUAAAAAGCAUACAGUACGUAAUUGAGAUGGAACAUUUUAACAACAAAAGUAUAGAUAACCCUCCCCCCUCCGAAAAUGGUUUGUUGCAGCUCGUCUUUCCCCUACUCUGGCUCUAGCUCCAUUGCUGCCAGAGCGAUGGUGGCUGAGACGCAGCGGAGCGGACGUGGAAGCGCCUGCCUUAAAACAGGACAUAUUAGCUGCAUUUAACCUUCAGUUACUCUUUAUAUAGUUAGGUAGGAGUCAGGCCAUGUUUCUUUUUAGCUGAAAAACAUUACACCCAGGUAACCUGCAGUGUUGAAAACGUGUUUCCCGACUAUGUUUGCUACCCUAUAAUCCGUCCUACUCUGUAGUAAAAUCAGCGAUAUUUGAUUGUCCUGUUGCUCCCAUUGAAAUUUAUAUAGCAUAUUUAAAAUCUAAAACUUAACAUUGUCCGUAGCCUGCUGUUGUUACCACUGUCCUGUUUGAAAUGUAAAUGAGAGAAACUGGUUAUUUUGUCAUAUGUGCAUGUGCCGAUAUUAAACCCAAGGUACUAACUAGCUAACUGACUGGAUGCCCAUUAACCUUAUAACUCCUGUUGUGUGUGUCUGUGUGUGUCUGUGUGUGUGUACAGAGAGAUAGCCAGGUUCAUAAUGGAUAUGAGGAAGUUUUUUCAAAAAAAGGAGCCACAUUCAGGUAAAAGUGUCAGAUCAAAUGAUCCAUCAAUAAAGGAUAAUGUUGGAUCAGUGUUUCAGUAUUUAUAUCCUUUAUUAGAUGUACAUGUGGUUUGGUUAUUUGCCUUUUGGUUGAAAGUACACUGAGAGAGGACUUUUUUUAUUAGUGAUCUUAAUAGUAUUUUAUUUAAUCUAAUUGAAUACAAUCUAUUUGUGUGUGAUUGUCAGUCCAAAGAGGGAGAGAGGAAAGAGGGGAGCAUGAGGAGAAAGUACAAGGUCAGGAAGAACCAGGUAAGAAAACAGACAGGGAACAGUGACAGGCAAAACAGAAAAUGUUAAACUGGCAAAGAAAAAAGCCCAACUAAUUUUACUCAUACAAUCUGGAAGUUGUGUUCUCCCUAUAUUAAAGCUGCUAUACAGAAUCUGCAAAACAAACUGGGUUGUCAGCCCUGGCACUGCAUUACCAUAUUGAACUUCAGUCAGAGGAAGUCACGGUUGCCAAAAACGUUUUGAAGCUCAAGAGUGAGGCUGGUGCCAUUCCAGAUAUGUUAACAUUGUACAAUAUUCUGGAUAAUCGUAUCUUCCCCACACUGAAAACUGUUAUUCAGGUUGCCCUAAUAAACCCAGUUAGCAGCUGUAGCUGUGAAAGGUCUUUUAGUGUCUUGAGUCAGCUCCAUACCUGGCUGAGAAGGACCAUGGGUCAAAGCAGACUCCAGCACCUGGCUGUGAUGUCAGUUGAGAAAGAGAUGCUUGAGAGACUUGACCACCAAAAUGUGAUAGACAGAUUUGCCAACCUCAAGCUGAGGCACAUAGGUUAAAAGAAAAGAAAAAAUCUGCAGGGCCAUAGUAGUGUCUGCAGUAAAGACCUUUUCAUACAUUGUAUACAUUGUACCAUAGGCCAAGGUGUCUCAAUUUUUCAAAUUUUUUAAUAAUAUUUUGUACAUUUCAAGGACUCUUCUAUUUUUGGAGUGUAUUUUUUAUGUAUCUGUAUUAUAUUAUACACACACAUUAAAAGUGAAUCUCUGUCCAAAAAAUGCACUCAGUUUACUUUUUACUCACUAUGAGCAUCAUUCAUUAUUCUUCCGCAGUAAUUAAGGUUAGGAUUAGAGAUGGACCGAUCCGAUAUUACGUAUCGGUAUCGGUCCGAUACUGACCUAAAUUACUGGAUCGGAUAUCGGCGAGAAAUAAAAAAUGUAAUCCGAUCCAUUAAAUAUCAAAAAAGCAGCUCACAAAACUUGCAACACGGCGUAACUCGGCUCAUAACCGUAGCACGUCGGAGCAGUGUGUGUCAUGUGAUAGAGCGGCUGUGUGUAUUUGUAGCCUCACUACCAAACCAGCAUUUCAUCUCUGAGGAAGUUAUCCCAGAGAGACGUAAAGCAAGUGUGCAAGUUCAUCUCUGAAUGUUUGUAAAGCAUUCCCGCAUUAAGCUUAACAACCAAUAUAUGGAGCGACUGCCUCUCUCUCUCCCUCUCCUGCCGCUACUUCAAUCGUGAAACUGCUUAACGAUCAGCUGAUCGGCUUUUUUGUCGCGAGUCCAUCUCUCUUCUUUGUUUUUGGCCCACUUUGCACUAGAAAGAGGAAACCAGCGGCUGAACAACAGCAGCACGUUUAAGCUUGAUAAGCUGUUGUUAGAAUUUAUUUAAUAUUACUUUCUACACCAGGAUCCUUUUCUACGUAGCUGACGGCUGGUAACUGUGCAGGGGCGGAUCUAGCAAAGUUUAGCCAGGGGGGCCGAUAGGGCAUGAACAGGGAAAAGGGGGCACAAAGACAUACUUUUCUUUCUUAUUCUCAUUUAAAAUGUCUAGCUUUUAAUAAAUAAUUAUCUGAAUCUUACACCCAAAGUUUUAAUCUGAUGUAAAAUGUAUAGAAGUCCAUUACUGUAUAUAGUAACUCUUAAGUCUAUAUACCCUAGUAAGCUAUAGUACUUUUUCCUUUGGGAAGGUACCAUCUGCGCAGUCUGCAAUUCUGUUGAAGAAAGAUGUUGAAUCUAUUUAAUUAUUCUUGAAAAAUAAUUUAUUUCUGUGCAUUUUUUUUCGCCCUGCAUCAAAUUAAAGUUGAUUACAUCAAUUAAGCAUCAUGAGGUGGAGGGUGGGGGGUGGUUCCCUAUUUUUUUUUGCUGGGAAUUUGCAACCCUAUUAGUUAGGUUGCUUAAUAUUUCUGCUAAGUACUCUUUAAAAUACCAGAAUAGGGAGGAUGGAGCAGGUUUAAGUUUAUUAGAUUGAUCAGUGUUGCUGAACUAUGAAAUAUUUUGGGUGCAGUGUAUUUUUUACAUACAGGUAUAACAGAAUAGCUUUAGUGUUGUUGUUUAUUUAAACUUGAGUAUGAACUUAUACAAAAUGCAGCAAGAUAUUAAAAAAACAGUUUUAUUGAUUAAAAAAAACACACUAUAUCGGAUUCAUAUCGGUAUCGGCAGAUAUCCAAAUUUAUGAUAUCGGUAUUGUUAUCGGACAUAAAAAAGUGGUAUCGUGCCAUCUCUAGUUAGGAUAUGUUUUUUUUUUUCAAAUUCCAAUCCAUUCUUCUUUAGCAGUAGUCGACUUUAGCAGCAUUUAAAUAACCUUUAUCAGAUUUGAUGGUUUUGUUACAAACUUUUCAAAAAAGUGUUUUGCUUUUCUUUCACAAAUGUGGGGAUUAAAUUGUGUUAAAAUGUACAAAACAGGGAUGUCAUGUUUUGUGACGAGGACCCAGGCACAGAGAGACUUGAUGAAUUUAAGAAUCUUAUGAUUUAAUAAAGAAAUUUGCAGACUUGCAUAGAGAUGGUAAAAUUAUGAUGACUGAUAACGGAGAUGAAGACAACAGACGAUAAGGACAGGGAGGAACAGGGGUUUAAAUGCACCAAGGAGACAGUCAGAGAGCACUCGGGACAACUGGAGACAUUUAAGGAUGCAGGGACUGACAGAGACAGGGAAGAAGUCUCAUCGUGACGAGUAAAGUUUACCUUGCCUGGAUGGGCAGCUCUCUGGGUGCUCAGCACCCCCAAAGCUCUGAUCCUAGAAUCGCCCCUGGUAAGUACCCAAAUCUAACAGUGUCUGUUAAUUAACCCGUUU